UACGGAGGAUGCGAGCGUUAUCCGGAUUUAUUGGGUUUAAAGGGUGCGUAGGCGGCGAGUUAAGUCAGCGGUAAAAGCCCGGGGCUCAACCCUGUCGAGCCGUCGGAACUGGCAGUCUUGAGUGGGCGAGAAGUAUGCGGAAUGCGUGGUGUAGCGGUGAAAUGCAUAGAUAUCACGCAGAACGCCGAUUGCGAAGGCAGCAUACCGGCGCCCAACUGACGCUGAAGCACGAAAGCGUGGGUAUCGAACAGG
RNAcentral lists this ribosomal RNA (252 nucleotides) under uncultured Bacteroidales bacterium. RNAcentral's name for it is "partial 16S ribosomal RNA". It matches the Rfam family "Bacterial small subunit ribosomal RNA", at positions 524 to 776 of the family's 1533-position model. Lineage: Bacteria; Pseudomonadati; Bacteroidota; Bacteroidia; Bacteroidales. The record is from RNAcentral.